GAUGAACGCUGGCGGCGUGCCUAAUACAUGCAAGUCGAGCGAACGGACGAGAAGCUUGCUUCUCUGAUGUUAGCGGCGGGCGGGUGAGUAACACGUGGAUAACCUACCUAUAAGACUGGGAUAACUUCGGGAAACCGUAGCUAAUACCGGAUAAUAUUUUGAACCGCAUGGUUCAAAGGUGAAAGACGGUCUUGCUGUCACUUAUAGAUGGAUCCGCGCUGCAUUAGCUAGUUGGUAAGGUAACGGCUUACCAAGGCAACGAUGCAUAGCCGACCUGAGAGGGUGAUCGGCCACACUGGAACUGAGACACGGUCCAGACUCCUACGGGAGGCAGCAGUAGGGAAUCUUCCGCAAAGGGCGAAAGCCUGACGGAGCAACGCCGCGUGAGUGAUGAAGGUCUUCGGAUCGUAAAACUCUGUUAUUAGGGAAGAACAUAUGUGUAAGUAACUGUGCACAUCUUGACGGUACCUAAUCAGAAAGCCACGGCUAACUACGUG
This 497-nucleotide ribosomal RNA is filed under the name uncultured bacterium. Its description in RNAcentral is "partial 16S ribosomal RNA". It matches the Rfam family "Bacterial small subunit ribosomal RNA", at positions 28 to 507 of the family's 1533-position model. The record is from RNAcentral.